Molecule: long non-coding RNA, 1622 nt
Organism: Haemorhous mexicanus (house finch)
Lineage: Eukaryota; Metazoa; Chordata; Aves; Passeriformes; Fringillidae
Exons: 5
Source: RefSeq, a predicted model, not a curated record
CACGCCGUGCUGCACAUCCUCCUCAGGGACCUGGGCACGUCUCACCGGCACCUCUCUCGGCCCCGCAGUCCUCCCGGCUAGCUUAGCCCAGAGGGACCCCCGAAGGAGCCCUGUCCUGCUGCUGCCAUCCCCCGCCCCAGCCCCGACGGCACUGCCCCUUCCUGCCCUGCCUGCCUCGCCCAGGGCUACGAGGUGCUGCUGGCCCCGGGCAGUCUUCUGGGCUGAGGAACGUGGCCUGCACCAGACCGAGCCAAAACCCUGGCCGUGCGAUUCACCCCUGUCCUGGGAAGAGUGGUCCAUAUCCUGGCUGCCUGGGGGUAGCAGGGAACUCCAGAAAAUACCAAGUGCGUGCUUGGACUGCAUCAAAGGUCACUUCUGCACGGUGAGGAUCAUGCUGUCACAUCAUCCCUGCAGUGCAGUGAGUGUGGGGCUUCCCUGCCCCAGAGCACGCGCUCACAGACCAAAAUAAAAUGCAGAUGAAGAAGUGAAGAGUGAGAAAGAGCUGAAGAGACACGAGAUGAGAUGAGAGGAAGGCUCCUGGUAAUCAUGGGUUGGAAAUGGAGUCUCAAAUAGAGACAGUUCUUGGCAGCAGGAAGCAGAAGACAGCUCUAAGUGGGGAGAGACGUGUGAGUGACAUACAGAGGGGAGCGUGGGAGCAGCAGCAGCGAGGGCAGGGCGACCACAGGGAGGGCAAGCAGAGCCAUCUCCGGACUUGGAUGGCCCUGGAACUGGAGGAAAGAAAGAAGAAGGAGGAUGGAAACUCUUCAAUGGCUCUUCUUGUCCCUGUGUGAGGAGCUCCUCACCUGGCUGAAACGGACAUGCUCAAGACCAGUGAAAUGACAAUGGCUGUGUGGGAGUAAGAUGUCUUGGCAACCUUCCUGAAGGGAAAAUAAGUGAUGCAGAGCAGUCAGAGUCACCCCUGUGCUUGGAAAGAUCAUGGAGCAGAUCCUGCUGGAAACAAUGCUAAGACACGUGGAAGGGAUGCUGCAAGUUCAGCUCUUCUCUGGAGAUGGCCCCUUGACAGCAGAGCUGGGACAGGAGUGGAACAGGGCACUGCACAGGCUGGGUCUGAUGGAGACAAUGGCCCCUUUGCUCCAACAUUCAUCCUCCUAAGACCAGAACAGUGAUACCCCAUGUGCUCCCAAAGACUGCUGAGACUCACCACAGACAUUGUUGUGAAGAAUCUUGCUCAGCAAGAUAAGAAACUAUUCCCAUCUGUCCCUUCCCAGGUGAAUAACCAGUGUCCUGGAUGAGCAGUGGAGUUACAGCCCAGUGCUUUCUGACAACAGAGUCUGAUCCUCCAAGGCUGGCCAGCAGCUAGGUGGCAAAGCAGGAGUGUGAUUUUUAUCUUUUGCAAUGAUUCACCUUGGUUAAAUAUUAUUUCUGAUAUCCAGUUAUAUGCUGUCUGCAGAGACCUCCAUGCUUGUCUAAGGCCCAUUUAAUUCAGUGCCUUUGUGCUGGCUUCACUGUGGGCUGGGUCCUACUUGGGCUGUGGCUGUGUCCUUUAAUAGCCACAGCUGUAAAAACUUAUUAGCUGCUUCUCUGGAGGCCUGUUGUCUUUCUGAUAAAAAAAAAAAAAAGAAAAGAAAAAAGUGUAUUUCAAGGGGAAUGAAAUUUCAGAU